This 484-nucleotide ribosomal RNA is filed under the name uncultured organism. RNAcentral describes it as "bacterial SSU rRNA". It matches the Rfam family "Bacterial small subunit ribosomal RNA", at positions 30 to 507 of the family's 1533-position model. The record is from RNAcentral.
AUUGAACGCUGGCGGCAUGCCUUACACAUGCAAGUCGAACGGCAGCACGGGGGCAACCCUGGUGGCGAGUGGCGAACGGGUGAGUAAUGCAUCGGAAUGUACCCAGUAGUGGGGGAUAACUAGUCGAAAGACUGGCUAAUACCGCAUACGCACUAUGGUGGAAAGCGGGGGAUCGCAAGACCUCGCGCUAUUGGAGCAGCCGAUGUCCGAUUAGGUAGUUGGUGGGGUAAAGGCCUACCAAGCCUGCGAUCGGUAACUGGUCUGAGAGGACGACCAGUCACACUGGGACUGAGACACGGCCCAGACUCCUACGGGAGGCAGCAGUGGGGAAUUUUGGACAAUGGGCGCAAGCCUGAUCCAGCAAUGCCGCGUGUGUGAAGAAGGCCUUCGGGUUGUAAAGCACUUUUGUCAGGAACGAAACAGUGUCCGCUAAUACCGGGCGCGAAUGACGGUACCUGAAGAAUAAGCACCGGCUAACUACGUG